AUUGAAUGCUGGCGGCAUGCCUUACACAUGCAAGUCGAACGGUAACAGGUCUUCGGAUGCUGACGAGUGGCGAACGGGUGAGUAAUACAUCGGAACGUGCCUAGUAGUGGGGGAUAACUACUCGAAAGAGUGGCUAAUACCGCAUGAGAUCUACGGAUGAAAGCAGGGGAUCGCAAGACCUUGUGCUACUAGAGCGGCCGAUGGCAGAUUAGGUAGUUGGUGGGAUAAAAGCUUACCAAGCCGACGAUCUGUAGCUGGUCUGAGAGGACGAUCAGCAACACUGGGACUGGGACACGGCCCAGACUCCGACGGGAGGCAGCAGUGGGGAAUUUUGGACAAUGGGCGAAAGCCUGAUCCAGCAAUGCCGCGUGCAGGAUGAAGGCCUUCGGGUUGUAAACUGCUUUUGUACGGAACGAAAAGCCCCGGGUUAAUACCCUGGGGUCAUGACGGUACCGUAAGAAUAAGCACCGGCUAACUACGUGCCAGCCGCCGCCGUAA
This 498-nucleotide ribosomal RNA is filed under the name uncultured bacterium. Its description in RNAcentral is "partial 16S ribosomal RNA". It matches the Rfam family "Bacterial small subunit ribosomal RNA", at positions 30 to 523 of the family's 1533-position model. The record is from RNAcentral.